UUUCCGUAGGUGAACCUGCGGAAGGAUCAUUACAGAGUUCAUGCCCUCACGGGUAGAUCUCCCACCCUUGAAUACUUAUACCUUUGUUGCUUUGGCGGGCCGCUUCGGCUACCGGCUUCGGCUGGUGAGUGCCCGCCAGAGGACCCAAAACUCUGAAUUAUAGUGUCGUCUGAGUACUAUAUAAUAGUUAAAACUUUCAACAACGGAUCUCUUGGUUCUG
RNAcentral lists this unclassified non-coding RNA (220 nucleotides) under root metagenome. RNAcentral's name for it is "partial contains small subunit ribosomal RNA, internal transcribed spacer 1, and 5.8S ribosomal RNA". The record is from RNAcentral.